CCUACGGGCGGCUGCAGUGAGGAAUAUUGGUCAAUGGACGAGAGUCUGAACCAGCCAAGUAGCGUGAAGGAUGACUGCCCUAUGGGUUGUAAACUUCUUUUAUAUGGGAGUAAAAUGUUCCACGUGUGGGGUUUUGUAUGUACCAUAUGAAUAAGGAUCGGCUAACUCCGUGCCAGCAGCCGCGGGAAUACGGGGGGACAGAGCGUUAUCCGGGUUUAUUGGGUUUAAAGGGAGCGUAGGUGGAUUGUUAAGUCAGGUGUGAAAAUUUGCGGCUCAAACGUAAAAUUGCAGUUGAAACUGGCAGUCUUGAGUGCAGUAGAGGUGUGCGGAAUGCGUGGUGUAGCGGUGAAAUGCUUAGAUAUCACGAAGAACUCCGAUUGCGAAGGCAGCUCACUGGACUGCAACUGACACUGAGGCUCGAAAGUGUGGGUAUCAAACAGGAUUAGAUACCCUUGUAGUC
RNAcentral lists this ribosomal RNA (460 nucleotides) under uncultured bacterium. RNAcentral describes it as "partial 16S ribosomal RNA". It matches the Rfam family "Bacterial small subunit ribosomal RNA", at positions 338 to 795 of the family's 1533-position model. The record is from RNAcentral.